This 373-nucleotide ribosomal RNA is filed under the name uncultured organism. RNAcentral describes it as "bacterial SSU rRNA". It matches the Rfam family "Bacterial small subunit ribosomal RNA", at positions 526 to 896 of the family's 1533-position model. The record is from RNAcentral.
CGUAGGGUCCGAGCGUUGUCCGGAAUUAUUGGGCGUAAAGGGCUCGUAGGCGAUUCGUCACGUCGGGAGUGAAAACUCGGAGCUUAACUCCGAGCCUGCUUCCGAUACGGGCAGACUAGAGGUAGGCAGGGGAGAGCGGAACUCCUGGUGUAGCGGUGGAAUGCGCAGAUAUCAGGAAGAACACCGGUGGCGAAGGCGGCUCUCUGGGCCUUACCUGACGCUGAGGAGCGAAAGCGUGGGUAGCGAACAGGAUUAGAUACCCUGGUAGUCCACGCCGUAAACGUUGGGCGCUAGGUGUGGGGGACAUUCCACGUCCUCCGUGCCGCAGCUAACGCAUUAAGCGCCCCGCCUGGGGAGUACGGCCGCAAGGCUA